Molecule: ribosomal RNA, 402 nt
Filed under: uncultured prokaryote
Description: bacterial SSU rRNA
Rfam family: Bacterial small subunit ribosomal RNA
Source: RNAcentral
UGGGGAAUCUUAGACAAUGGGCGCAAGCCUGAUCUAGCCAUGCCGCGUGAGCGAUGAAGGCCUUAGGGUUGUAAAGCUCUUUCAGCUGGGAAGAUAAUGACUGUACCAGCAGAAGAAGCCCCGGCUAACUCCGUGCCAGCAGCCGCGGUAAUACGGAGGGGGCUAGCGUUGCUCGGAAUUACUGGGCGUAAAGCGCACGUAGGCGGACUGGAAAGUCAGGGGUGAAAGCCCGGGGCUCAACCCCGGAACUGCCCUUGAAACUCCCGGUCUUGAGGUCGAGAGAGGUGAGUGGAAUUCCGAGUGUAGAGGUGAAAUUCGUAGAUAUUCGGAGGAACACCAGUGGCGAAGGCGGCUCACUGGCUCGAUACUGACGCUGAGGUGCGAAAGCGUGGGGAGCAAACA